AACGAACGCUGGCGGCAUGCCUAACACAUGCAAGUCGAACGAGACCUUCGGGUCUAGUGGCGCACGGGUGCGUAACGCGAGGGAACCUGCCCUUAGGUUCGGAAUAACUCCCCGAAAGGGGUGCUAAUACCGGAUAAUGUCUUCGGACCAAAGAUUUAUCGCCUUUGGAUGGGCCCGCGUUGGAUUAGCUAGUUGGUAGGGUAAAAGCCUACCAAGGCGACGAUCCAUAGCUGGUCUGAGAGGAUGAUCAGCCACACUGGGACUGAGACACGGCCCAGACUCCUACGGGAGGCAGCAGUGGGGAAUAUUGGACAAUGGGCGAAAGCCUGAUCCAGCAAUGCCGCGUGAGUGAUGAAGGACUUAGGGUUGUAAAGCUCUUUUACCCGGGAUGAUAAUGACAGUACCGGGAGAAUAAGCUCCGGCUAACUCCGUG
RNAcentral lists this ribosomal RNA (433 nucleotides) under uncultured bacterium. RNAcentral describes it as "partial 16S ribosomal RNA". It matches the Rfam family "Bacterial small subunit ribosomal RNA", at positions 29 to 507 of the family's 1533-position model. The record is from RNAcentral.